AAAAUACUAUAUAAUAGGUGACUACCCAAGAUUAGUACGAUCAGUUGUUAGUGUACUUGAACCUGUUCGGUUGUGAUUAUUUUUGCUAAUUUCAAAUUAAACGUAUUUUGAAAUCAUGAAGGCUAUUGUUGCUGUUUAUUUCGCUCUAGUGGCUCUCUGUGUCGCCAUCAAUUUCGUAGAAUGUACAAUUUGCGCGAAGGAUCUCCGUUCUGGUGGUCCUCAAAACUUUAACAGCAAGGCUGCAAUGGAGGCUGAAAACAGACGGGGUGGACGAUAUGUUUUUGUGCACAAUGGAGCUUGCUAGAAACCGUUGAAAAUAUUCCGUUACGUUAUCAGUCAUCACUUAUCAACAAAUAAAAAUAGAAAAAACAGAUUGGAAAACUAAACCCAAACCUUCAAUAGAAAUUUUGUUCCAUGUAAAAUGUAAAUAUUAAUAAUAAAUUCAAUUUUUUAAUUAA
Molecule: long non-coding RNA, 458 nt
Organism: Planococcus citri (citrus mealybug)
Lineage: Eukaryota; Metazoa; Arthropoda; Insecta; Hemiptera; Pseudococcidae
Exons: 3
Source: RefSeq, a predicted model, not a curated record